CUGCAGCCAAUUGAGCUGAUGCAGUUCCUUUCAUCAUGGGGCCCAGUGUGCAGUAGCUGCAAACGGCAGCUUCCUUUGUAGUGUAUGCAGCCUGUUUCUUAUAGGGGUUGCUCUAAGGGACCUUGGAGACAGGC
Molecule: small nucleolar RNA, 134 nt
Organism: Nomascus leucogenys (northern white-cheeked gibbon)
Lineage: Eukaryota; Metazoa; Chordata; Mammalia; Primates; Hylobatidae
Gene: SNORA70
Rfam family: Small nucleolar RNA SNORA70
About the family: snoRNA U70 seems to be exclusive to mammals and is a member of the H/ACA class of snoRNA which contain H (ANANNA) and ACA box motifs. H/ACA box snoRNAs are involved in the conversion of uridines to pseudouridines (5-ribosyluracil) a constituent of structural RNAs (transfer, ribosomal, small nuclear, and small nucleolar).
Source: Ensembl